Molecule: long non-coding RNA, 1062 nt
Filed under: Anser cygnoides (Swan goose)
Lineage: Eukaryota; Metazoa; Chordata; Aves; Anseriformes; Anatidae
Description: lncRNA (ENSACDG00005016153.1)
Source: RNAcentral
CUCCACCGAAGCCAGCCAGGAAGACUGCAAGGUGACACCUCUGAAAUCCUGCCCGGCCCGACGGCGCAGAGCAUCACCCAGCUCACUUCCAGCCCGGACCGACGGCCAGGGACGGACACACGGCCGGGACGGGCUGCGCCUGGAAGCACCGGGCAGCAGGGGAACCCACGGCCUUGCAGCAAGAAAGAAAAUAAAAGCCUUACGAUAUCCGCGGCCCGCGACAGAUCGCCGUGUGCAGCUGCAGCCGCGCUGGGUUCCCAGACCUCCGCAGACACAGCCCUAAGCGAGGCGACAGGGCAGGCACGAGGCGGAGGAGCACAGCCUCAGGGCUGCCCGGAGGCACACUGUGCACGGCUUCAUGGUGUAACAGAAAACCCUUCACGAGCUCUCUCUAAUGAUUUAUUUUCUUCUCCUGUUUUUUUUGUUUUGUUUUUUUUUUUCCUCUCCCAAGGAGAAGAAAUUCAUUUUGAAUGUUUUCCCAGCUGCCAGACAAACCUGGAUGCCCAGCUGCCAUUGAGAGCCCAGGAGCUGCCGGACCAAGCCCAAGCUGACCAAAGUGUCCCAGCACUGAGGUUUUGUGCCUUUUUUAGUGUUUUUUUAUUUUAUUCUUCAAGACUGGCAGGAUUUUGGAGCAGAUUAAGAGAAGGAGGGAGCUCCCACGGGUCUCAAUUGGGACACACCGUGUGGAUGGGCCACGCGAAAACUCCCACGGCUCUGAAGGAAAGCUCUGCCAAAGACAAUUCCCAUCUUUCUGCUUUCUGGAGCACAAAGCAGGCCCAGCACCAUGGCACAGCAUCGCCCAGCACCACAGCAUCGCCCAGCACCACGCUGCUUGUCAGGAGCUUCUCCCUGAGCUGGCGAGCCCCCAAACUGCAGGGCAGGGUGACGGCAUGUCCUGAGCCCCGCAGCGUCCCCAGCUUCACCUGCCUGUCCCCUGCCAGCCGCUGCUACAUCCACGGUGGGCGCAAACCUCCUGUGAGUGAGGCACAUCGUUCACCCCAGCAGGGCCGAGGUGUGCCCGUAACGCACACCAUUACCAGCGACAGCGCUCCGUAUGAAUGA